GUCACUUCCUGCCGUUCUCAAAAUGGCGGCGCGCAGGGUUCUCCGGCUCGCGGAGCGCCAGGCGAGAUCGCUCCGCCCCUUGCCCCGCCCACCGCAGCGGAUCGGCCAAUGGCGAGAGGCCCAGGGUCUCUCCCCGAGUCCCUCCGGGCCCGGACCCCUCAGGGACCUCCCGGAUUGGAGCUUUUCGGGUAAAAAAAUCGGAAUUUUGGGAAAAUUGGGGGAAAUUUGGGAAUUUUGGGGGAAAAAUGGGAAUUUUGGGGUAAAAAUGGGAAUUUUGGGAAAAAAAAUUGGAGUUUUUGUGGAAAAAAUGGGAAUUUUGGGGGAAAAAUGGGAAUUUUGGAAUCAAAAAAUGGGAAUUUUGGGGGAAAAAUGGGAAUUUUGGGGGGAAAUUCGGGGAUUUUGGGGGAAAAAAUGGGAAUUUUGGGG
This 426-nucleotide long non-coding RNA is filed under the name Taeniopygia guttata (zebra finch). RNAcentral's name for it is "lncRNA (ENSTGUG00000028182.1)". Lineage: Eukaryota; Metazoa; Chordata; Aves; Passeriformes; Estrildidae. The record is from RNAcentral.